AUGUGCGUGAAGAAAUACCAUCCUUGCUCUGCGAGGCGAUGGACACACACUCGAGAACCCUGCGGAGGUACCGUAGCAACGGGUUACAGUAACCGAAGCAGUCGAUUCUCUAGUGGUUCUUCGCCGGUGAACAGUUAUGGCCUCUGACACAU
Molecule: small nucleolar RNA, 152 nt
Filed under: Caenorhabditis remanei
Lineage: Eukaryota; Metazoa; Nematoda; Chromadorea; Rhabditida; Rhabditidae
Description: Nematode snoRNA ceN47
Rfam family: Nematode snoRNA ceN47
Source: Rfam by way of RNAcentral